UUAAGUUCAGCGGGUAGUCCUACCUGAUUUGAGGUCAAAUUCAUCAAAAUUGUGUGGUUCAACGACCACUCGCAUUUUUAGAAGCGGUGCAAUCUGUUUAUGCAGCAUACCAAAAGGCAUAGAUAAUUUAUCAAACCUAAUAGCAGUAGCUCAGAUACCACUAAUACAUUUCAGGGGAGCCGACUUCUUUUUGAGAAGCC
This 200-nucleotide unclassified non-coding RNA is filed under the name Inocybe sp. Its description in RNAcentral is "partial internal transcribed spacer 2". Lineage: Eukaryota; Fungi; Basidiomycota; Agaricomycetes; Agaricales; Inocybaceae. The record is from RNAcentral.